CCGAAGCAGAAGAACGCGAAGGAGAAAGAAGAGAAAGAAGAAAAUAAGAAAGAAAAAGAUUUAGCCGUCCGAUUUCGAUUUCGACUUCGGUGUACGUUGGAAGAGAUUUGGGUGAAAUUGCGAAAGCUAGGAAGUGUCGAUAAGAGGUAUGCAUGGCACAUCCGAGACAGGGGACGUCUUGGGAUAUAGAAAGACGGGCUGAGUGAGUAAACCGUAUAUUGUAUUAUAUGUAAAUUUUUAACCGGAAUAACCUCUUGUUAAGGGGUGUGUUUUGUAAAUAUUUAUAAAUCAGAUUCUUUUAUAUAAUA
Long non-coding RNA from Andrographis paniculata, 308 nucleotides. RefSeq lists it as uncharacterized. The record is from RefSeq and is a predicted model, not a curated record. NCBI's taxonomy places the organism in Eukaryota, Viridiplantae, Streptophyta, Magnoliopsida, Lamiales, Acanthaceae. The transcript has 3 exons.